UACAGAGGGGGCAAGCGUUGUUCGGAAUUACUGGGCGUAAAGGGCGCGUAGGCGGCCUGUUAAGUCGAACGUGAAAUCCCCGGGCUCAACCCGGGAACUGCGUCCGAUACUGGCAGGCUUGGAUCCGGGAGAGGGAUGCGGAAUUCCAGGUGUAGCGGUGAAAUGCGUAGAUAUCUGGAGGAAUACCGGUGGCGAAGGCGGCAUCCUGGACCGACAUUGACGCUGAGGAGCGAAAGCUAGGGGAGCAAACGGG
This 253-nucleotide ribosomal RNA is filed under the name uncultured bacterium. Its description in RNAcentral is "partial 16S ribosomal RNA". It matches the Rfam family "Bacterial small subunit ribosomal RNA", at positions 524 to 776 of the family's 1533-position model. The record is from RNAcentral.